RNAcentral lists this transfer RNA (72 nucleotides) under bacterium. RNAcentral's name for it is "tRNA-Arg". It matches the Rfam family "tRNA". Rfam says of the family: Transfer RNA (tRNA) molecules are approximately 80 nucleotides in length. The record is from RNAcentral.
GUCCCCGUAGUUCAACGGAUAGAACAGUGGACUCCUAAGCCACUGAUGGCCGUUCGAUUCGGCCCGGGGACA